This 42-nucleotide non-coding RNA is filed under the name Trypanosoma brucei brucei. Lineage: Eukaryota; Euglenozoa; Kinetoplastea; Trypanosomatida; Trypanosomatidae. The record is from RNAcentral.
GAUCAUAACUGCGGAGAUAAGUAACUUGAAUGUGAAAUUAUU